GAUUUUUAUUUUUUGUUUUUAGUUUCUAAAGUUAAAAAUGUUUUUGUUUGUUGACCGUUAGUUGCGUUUAGUUAUUAAUUAUGUAUUAUACAAAUUAUUUGCACAGGCGUCCAAGUAAAAUGAAUGAAUAUGGCUUGAAGAGGAUACCGGAUUACACGGAGUUGGCCUACAAAGAGGCGGUAUCGAAGUUGCGAUACUUCUUGUCGGGGAAUUAUGCGCCAAGCGUCCGCAGCUACGGCGGCUCAGCCUCGGUCAAGAACUUGGACGAGUCUGACGGCGAUGUGGACAAGAAGUACCCCAGCUCGUACACGCUGGCCGAGUACAAGCCGCGGCCGAGAUUGACAGCUAAAUACGCCACGUUGUACGCCGACAGUCUCAAUAAUUAUACACCGCCACAUACUGCUACUGCACCAGCUCCAACUACCGCGGCUGCCAGUGGUGGCGACCUGACCGGGGGCACCAACCCUGAUGUCAUCAACUUCAUACAGAAGCAGGAGGAGUAUAUAGAACAGCUGGAACGAGAGAGCCAGUAUUGCAGGGAUGAACUAAACAACCUGCUGGGCAAAGUAAAGGAGGUGAUCUCCGAGAAUGAGCACUUACACGAAGCUCAGAAGAACAAGCUCAUCUCUAGAAUGUUCCACUCGUACAACGGCUCCGAGAGUGACGAGCUGGACGAGCUGGGGGACAGCACUGGACUUGACAGUGAUAAUAAGACGACUCCGCUAAAGGCCCGCAAAUCUGCCAAGUCCCGCUCCACCAGACUGGAAGGUCCUAACAUCGUGUUUGAGUCCCGUAUUGCUGAGUUGGAGGCCCAACUGACGCAGGCCAAGAUCGACCUUAAGAAAGUGCAGGAGGAAAACAAUGAAAACAAGCGCAAGUUGGCCUCCGGGCUGGUUGACUCAACCUGCCUCGACGGCUUUAAGCGCCAAAUUGACAAUUUGCAAAGAGAUAAGUCGUCGUUGGAAGCUCAGAUAUCCAAACUGAAGUUGAGCCUGGAACAGCGUGAUGAUGACGGGAGGUACAAGCGAGGGUCUGAUGCGUUGGAACAUCAGCUCAGGGAGGAACGGAAUAAUCUGGAUGCUGAAGUGCGCAGGCUUAAGGACGAUUUAUCAAAAGAGCGCAACAAAGUCCGCGAGCUAGCGGGCGAGGGCGCUCGACGCGCCAUACAGGAGCGCAGUGCGGCCGAGCAGCGCUACAACGCGCACUUCGACGAGCUGCAGCACGACCUCGCCGCGCAGUACGACAAUGUUGCCAAGCUGCAGUUUGAUUUGGAGCGCCAACGUCGUGAAGAACAUGAGCUGAAGCGAGAACUCUCCAUGAAAAACGCCACCAUCGACGAGCUGAAGAAUGAAUUGAAGACCAAGAUAUCGUCUCUGCAAGCGGAUUUGGCUCAAGCUCACGCUGAGAAGGCGUCUCUGGAGGAAGAACUGGCGAGCGCUCGUCUAGCUAUCGAGAGACAUCAGCGUCAGGCCAAACAUGAAACCAAUCGUCUCAAUUCAGAGAUCCAGUCUCUCCGUCAACGCUUAGACCGCGCUGAUGCAGACCUGGUGCACUCACGUCGAGAGAAUCUGCGUCUCUCCGAACAGAUCUCCAAUCUGGAGAAAGAGCAAACAAUGAAAAACUUAACACCGAUAUCGCCGGAGAAGCACAAGAAAGAGAAAGAGUUAUCCUCGAUGCUGGAGACGAUGGAGAAUAAGCACGGCAAGAACUGGCCACUCUGCAGCGUCAAGUAAACGGACUGUCGCGAUCCAUCCAGACUCCUCACGCACCUAGCCAUUUUCAAGCACAUCCCUCGCACCCGACCUCAGCCGACAGACAUGUACCACAUCCCCCAUCCGACAGCGGACGAGACUAUCCCGGAGCUGAGUCCCCCGGACACACCGCACACGCCCGGGACACAACAGUCCGACGAGACGACCGUCAUCAAACAGGAAUAGUCGAAGACAACAACACAUUUGAACCACAAGAAGAAAUAAACCACAACCAAGUUGUAGCACAACAAAAUAUUUCUCAAAAUGCUCAUCCUACAGACAGAGGCUACGAAGAAACAACAGAAUAUUUCGAACAACAGGAAGAGUCUAGAGCUACUACAGAAAGUGAAACUGUGAGGGAAAACCCUAUGGACGUUGAACAACCGCAAGAAUUUCCAGCUACGGAUCUCCGUUACGAACAACAUUACCAGGAACCAAAAGAGAAGAUAGAUUAUGAGGGUUUCUUCAAUGAGUACCCGCAACCGGAGAAUGUGGAUCAAAUAUACGCGCAGGAAUAUGAUGACUCAACACCUGAUCCGAAGAUGCACUAUGAACCGAGUCAUAAAAAAUAUAAUGCUGGUGAAACAAUUGAUCAUUUUCCUGUUGAAGAGAACUAUGCCACAAAUGAGUAUGCUAAAGAAUAUCUUACUGAAAAUCCGCAAAAUGAUGUCAACGUUCAGCAAGAAGGAAAUUAUAAUGCUUCAGAUUAUACACAAGAAUAUCAAGCAUACGAUAACUCGGAACAUGAAAUUUCAAGGAAUGAGAGCAAUAAUUUACAACAAGAUAACAUACCUAGUCAAAGUUAGCAAUUUUAUUAGAAUUACGUUGUCUUCUUUUGUGCAAUAUUUUGUUAUAUAGCUUUUUAGUUUUAUGUAUUUGUGCUAGUUUUUAAAUAUUAAUUGUAGAUACCUAAUGAAGCUUUUGAUGUUAGGCAUGUUAUAGUUACAUAGAAAACAAAACAAAAACUAGAUUUAACUGAUUCAUUAGUAAUUGAAGAACUAAAAUAAAGUUAUUUACGAUUGAAAAGGUUUUACUCUAGUUUAUCAUAAAAGGGAUAGUUUUGAAGCAACUAAUAGAAUAAAAAAUAAAUAAACUCAAAAUGAAAAUAGUACUUUAUAAACGCAACGCUUUCAUUAAUGCAAUAAACGGUAAUGAAUAUUUCUUAUCUUAGAAAUGAAAACGAAUACGUAGAAAAUUUUAAAUAUUUGUCUAAUGAUUAAUCAAUUUCUCUUAGUUGCUAGAAAAUUUUCCAUUAAAAUUUCUCUACCAAAUGUAACACCUUUAAAAUAAUAAUUAAAAUUAUUUUUGCUCAAUAUAAUGUUUAUAGAUCA
Molecule: unclassified non-coding RNA, 3082 nt
Filed under: Helicoverpa zea (corn earworm)
Lineage: Eukaryota; Metazoa; Arthropoda; Insecta; Lepidoptera; Noctuidae
Description: serologically defined colon cancer antigen 8 homolog, transcript variant X1
Source: RNAcentral